Molecule: long non-coding RNA, 331 nt
Organism: Homo sapiens (human)
Lineage: Eukaryota; Metazoa; Chordata; Mammalia; Primates; Hominidae
Source: Ensembl
CUUUUCACCUUGGGAAGGAGGUCUCUUUACUUUUUAUUUGAAAAGGAAUUGUUUUUAUUGUUUUCCUAAAGCUGGAGAGUGAAGGAAGCCAUCCUUGAGGAGUCAAGAUAAACUUCGGAUGUAAGUUCUGCCGUUUGUAGUGGCCUGGGCUCCCUCUGGGUGGAAUGUUUCACCAGGCAUUGUGAGAAGAGGAGAGCGGGAUUCUGACCCAGGCGCUGCUGCUGGAGGCUCUGUGACACCCGCACAUCAUCACUUAACAUGCAAGGGCUGUCCAUGGUCACUGUCUCUUUACAGUCUGAACGGUCACUGGGUCACAGAAUUCCACCGGGAA